This 731-nucleotide ribosomal RNA is filed under the name uncultured bacterium. RNAcentral's name for it is "bacterial SSU rRNA". It matches the Rfam family "Bacterial small subunit ribosomal RNA", at positions 771 to 1501 of the family's 1533-position model. The record is from RNAcentral.
AACAGGUUAGAUACCCUGGUAGUCCACGCCCUAAACGAUGUCUACUAGUUGUUGGUGGAGUAAAAUCCAUGAGUAACGCAGCUAACGCGUGAAGUAGACCGCCUGGGGAGUACGGUCGCAAGAUUAAAACUCAAAUGAAUUGACGGGGGCCCGCACAAGCGGUGGAUUAUGUGGAUUAAUUCGAUGCAACGCGAAAAACCUUACCUGGCCUUGACAUGUAACGAACUUUCCAGAGAUGGAUUGGUGCUCGAAAGAGAACGUUAACACAGGUGCUGCAUGGCUGUCGUCAGCUCGUGUCGUGAGAUGUUGGGUUAAGUCCCGCAACGAGCGCAACCCUUGCCAAUAAUUGCCAUCAUUUAGUUGGGCACUUUAUUGGGACUGCCGAUGACAAAUCGGAGGAAGGUGGGGAUGACGUCAAGUCCUCAUGGCCCUUAUGGCCAGGGCUUCACACGUAAUACAAUGGUCGGUACAGAGGGUUGCCAAGCCGCAAGGUGGAGCCAAUCCCAGAAAGCCGAUCGUAGUCCGGAUUGAGGUCUGCAACUCGACCUCAUGAAGUCGGAAUCGCUAGUAAUCGCGGAUCAGCAUGUCGCGGUGAAUACGUUCCCGGGCCUUGUACACACCGCCCGUCACACCAUGGGAGUGGGUUUUACCAGAAGUAGGUAGUCUAACCGCAAGGAGGACGCUUACCACGGUAGUAUUCAUGACUGGGGUGAAGUCGUAACAAGGUAACC